RNAcentral lists this ribosomal RNA (496 nucleotides) under uncultured bacterium. RNAcentral describes it as "bacterial SSU rRNA". It matches the Rfam family "Bacterial small subunit ribosomal RNA", at positions 29 to 524 of the family's 1533-position model. The record is from RNAcentral.
AACGAACGCUGGCGGCGCGCCUAACACAUGCAAGUCGAACGAGAAGGCGUAGCAAUACGCUUGUAGAGUGGCGAACGGGUGAGUAAUACGUGGGUGACCUACCCUCGAGUGGGGAAUAACCCGCCGAAAGGCGGGCUAAUGCCGCGUACGCUUCCGUCCUCACGGGGACGGAAGGAAAGCUGUACCCGUGGGUACGGCGCUCAAGGAUGGGCUCACGUCCUAUCAGCUUGUUGGUAGGGUAACGGCCACCAAGGCUACGACGGGUAGCUGGUCUGAGAGGACGAUCAGCCACACUGGCACUGCGACACGGGCCAGACUCCUACGGGAGGCAGCAGUGAGGAAUAUUGCGCAAUGGGCGAAAGCCUGACGCAGCGACGCCGCGUGGGGAUGAAGGUCUUCGGAUGUAAACCCCUUUCGGAGGGAGAUGAACGAGCAAUCGUUCGACGGUACCUCCAGAAGCAGCCACGGCUAACUUCGUGCCAGCAGCCGCAGUAAC